RNAcentral lists this small RNA (448 nucleotides) under Pongo abelii (Sumatran orangutan). RNAcentral describes it as "retained intron". The record is from RNAcentral. Lineage: Eukaryota; Metazoa; Chordata; Mammalia; Primates; Hominidae.
AGGUGGCUGCUGUGGGAGGCCAGAGCUACCUGAGUUCCAUCCUCAGGUUCUUUGUCAAGUCCCUGGCCAACAAGACCUCCGACUGGCUUGGCUACAUGCGCUUCCUCAUCAUCCCCCUCGGUUCUCACCCUGUGGCCAAAUACUUGGGGUCAGUCGACAGUAAAUACAGUAGUUCCUUCCUGGAUUCUGGUUGGAGAGAUCUGUUCAGUCGCUCAGAGCCACCAGUGUCAGAGCAACUGGACGUGGCAGGGCGGGUGAUGCAGUACGUCAACGGGGCGGCCACGACACACCAGCUUCCCGUGGCCGAAGCCAUGCUGACUUGCCGGCAUAAGUUGUAAGUUUGACCUUGAGGGGUUUCUUAAAAAUAGGUUGGGUGGGUUAGAGGAAUCUUGAAUCUUCCUUGCUGUUUCACAUUUUCCUUCUCCACAUGCUAUAUUCCUUCAUAGGA